CAGUAGCCGCGGGAAAACGAGGGGUGCAAGCGUUAUUCGGAUUGAUUGGGUGUAAAGGGUGUGCAGACGGCUUAUUAAGUCACUUGUUAAAUUCUUCGGCCUAACUGAAGGUCUGCAAGUGAUACUGAUGAGCUAGAGGGUGGAAGAGAGAAGUGGAAUUCUCGGAGUAGCGGUAAAAUGCGUAGAUCUCGAGGGGAACACCAAUGGCGAAGGCAGCUUCUUGGUCCAUUCCUGACGUUCAUACACGAAAGCGUGGGGAGCAAACAGGAUUAGAUACCCCCGUAGUCCCUGUCUCUUAUAA
This 301-nucleotide ribosomal RNA is filed under the name uncultured bacterium. Its description in RNAcentral is "partial 16S ribosomal RNA". It matches the Rfam family "Bacterial small subunit ribosomal RNA", at positions 509 to 809 of the family's 1533-position model. The record is from RNAcentral.